UAGCAAAGCUGAAAAUGAAAUAAAUAAAACAACAAAAUUAAAAAGUUAAAAAAAAAAAUCAAAAUCAAAAUUAAAAAUUUCCUGGUAAGUGAGAACAAUAGAUGAAGGGAAUAGAAAUGAUUUCAAUUAUGACUUCAUUAAAUUCUAGACAGCCAACGUUCCAGAAAUCCUAAAAAAUGCCAAACAAAUCUUCCAGCAGAUUGCAAAAGUCCUUAGCACAUUCCAAGGACGAAACGACUAAAACAAUGAACCUGUUCUCUGGGAGUAUGUUCACAUUUUGCGCGCCGUGGUCUAGACUUAAUGAUGUAGCCUCCCCAUACCACAUGCUACUAGAUCCAAGAGGAUAGCUCAAUGACGGAAGAUUUACUUCUUUCGAGCGACACAGUGAAUCUGACACCUGGUUAUCGACUAAUGGAACCGCGUUAUCCUCAGACUCAAGAGAGGA
Molecule: long non-coding RNA, 445 nt
Organism: Drosophila willistoni
Lineage: Eukaryota; Metazoa; Arthropoda; Insecta; Diptera; Drosophilidae
Exons: 3
Source: RefSeq, a predicted model, not a curated record